Molecule: ribosomal RNA, 396 nt
Filed under: uncultured bacterium
Lineage: Bacteria
Description: bacterial SSU rRNA
Rfam family: Bacterial small subunit ribosomal RNA
Source: RNAcentral
GACGAACGCUGGCGGCGUGCUUAACACAUGCAAGUCGAGCGGUAAGGCCCUUCGGGUACACGAGCGGCGAACGGGUGAGUAACACGUGGGUGACCUGCCCUUAGCUCUGGGAUAAGCCUGGGAAACUGGGUCUAAUACCGGAUAUGACCUCAUGACGCAUGUUGUGGGGUGGAAAGCCUUGUGCGGCUAGGGAUGGGCCCGCGGCCUAUCAGCUUGUUGGUGGGGCGAUGGCCACCAAGGCGACGACGGGUAGCCGGCCUGAGAGGGCGACCGGCCACACUGGGACUGAGACACGGCCCAGACUCCUACGGGAGGCAGCAGUGGGGAAUCUUGCGCAAUGGGCGAAAGCCUGACGCAGCGACGCCGCGUGAGGGAUGACGGCCUCGGUUGUAACGU